This is a long non-coding RNA of Nicotiana tabacum (common tobacco), 945 nucleotides long. RefSeq lists it as uncharacterized. The record is from RefSeq and is a predicted model, not a curated record. Lineage: Eukaryota; Viridiplantae; Streptophyta; Magnoliopsida; Solanales; Solanaceae.
CCAGUUUUGCCAACCCUAGUUGAGCCAAUAAAAGGAAGCAACCCUCUUCAAUUUCUGAAGAUUAGGGCAAAGCUGUAAAGGAAAUUGAAUUCAGCGCCGUUUUUUUUUUUUUUAAUUUCAAAGAAACGUGGAAUAGGGCGAGAGCUCUAGGCAAAUGACUUGGAGUUACAUCUAUCCAGACCAACUGAAGGGCAUUCGCAUAGAACUCUCGGACCUAUUCCUUGUUCGCCUUUGUUGAUAUGUGACUGAAGCUUACCCAAUCCUUAUUAGUUGGUUCUUGAAUGCGUAAUUUGUUCGUGCCAACAAAAAGAAGCAAUUGUCUUCCAUUUAUAAAGGCUAGGGCAAAGCUGUAGAGGAAAAUGCCCAUAAGAGGUUUGAUAAGCGCCGUUUUGUCUCAAGAAAAGCUGUAGAGUGCUACGAGGACUACAAGGGCAACAUGACGACCCUUGCUGUACAUUCCCCUCAAUGUACGAGAUCCUGAUUAUUUAAAGGUUGACUUUCACUCACAUCCCAACAAAAGGAAACAAGGAAUAGGUCCGAGAAUUCUUUGCAAAUGCCUUGAAACUACAUCUAUAAGUGAGGCAUUGGUGCCUUUUGUAUAGCUUGGUAUUCAUUAUCAGUUCCAACUUCCAACAAAAGUUGGCAAGUUAUAAGCUUUGUUUAUUGCAGCCGGAGAGAAAUUUACAACCCAUCCCUUCACUUGACUGAUGUAGUUCUUAUGGUUUAAGGCAUUAGCAUAUAAUUCUUGGACCCUUUCCUUAUUCCAGUUACUGAAGAAGCAAAAGGAGCUGAAGCGGAAGAUGGUGCAUCAGAAGUGCUAAUGCCCCACGAGGUGAUUAGGAGCACAAGAUUUAAAUCUUAUGGUUCAACUUUUAAAGUUUUUAGUAUCGAAUUCAUUAUAUUUUUAAAGUUAUGGGUUCAUAUCUACUAUUUUUGUAAUUUUAA